CAUGAAGCUUGUCAGCAGAUGGAGGCAUGAAGUGCUCUGAAAUCUCCUGGUAGACGUUGCAUUGACUUUGGACUUAAUAAAACACUGACUCUGGGUGUUUGAUUCCCAAAUUAAAUGCUAAGUUUACCAUCAUCUGAAAAGAGGACUUUAGACAACUGAGCAGCAGACCAGAUCUUUUUCUCCUUAGCCCAGUUGAGUUUCCAGGCGUGCAGCAGAGUCAGGCAAACAAGCAGUGAGGAAAAAGCUCAGGAGAGGGAUGAGGAGGAGAUGGCUGGCUGCCUGGCUAAGCCGGCAGGAGAAGGAUUACGAUGGAGCAGCUUGGUCUGAAGGAGCGUGAGAGAGGCCAGCAGCUGGCCCAUGGGGCCCACAGAUGGAGCCUCUGGAUGGGGAGUGGAGGACCUGCUCAGGCAUUUCAGAUGGACUUAUGAUGACUCACAAGCCCCCAGCAUCCCAAACACCUACUCAGAGUCAUGAGACAGGCCUCUCCUGUCCUUGUUUACUGGUACACUAAAACAGGAGAAAGGCAAUCAUUAUCACAUCGACUUAUGACUCUCCUGUUCACUAUAUUAAUCGUUUGAUUACUUAUCCUGAUUACUCUGAUUAAAGCAUCUGUUUCAACUCGUA
Molecule: long non-coding RNA, 624 nt
Organism: Notolabrus celidotus (New Zealand spotty)
Lineage: Eukaryota; Metazoa; Chordata; Actinopteri; Labriformes; Labridae
Exons: 3
Source: RefSeq, a predicted model, not a curated record